RNAcentral lists this ribosomal RNA (531 nucleotides) under Triticum aestivum (bread wheat). RNAcentral describes it as "partial small subunit ribosomal RNA". Lineage: Eukaryota; Viridiplantae; Streptophyta; Magnoliopsida; Poales; Poaceae. The record is from RNAcentral.
AUGUCGACGGCGGCUGCAUCCCGGCCCAGCGGCCCCAUCCUUUUGAGUCCCUUUCCCAACUACCAAUCCGCCUCGCUCUCCCGUGUCAAGCUCUCCGUCGCCGGCUCGCCGGUCAAGUCCUUCAGCGUCUCGUCUCCCCCCUCCUCCCCCACCGCCGCCGCCAAGAUCCGUCGGUCCUGCCUGUGCUCGCCGACGAACCACCCCGGCUCGUUCCGGUGCAGCCUUCACAAGGAGCGCAAGCAGGAGGCCCCCGCGGUCAACCACCCUGUCUCUCCGCCUUCGAAUUCGAAGCGCACGGCGAGCCCGUUCGCGCAGCUCGUCCCUAGCGGCAGUGGCAGUGGCUGCUCUAAACGCUCGUACAACGGGCUGGCGCAGCGCGUCCCCAUGGGGAGCGGGCACUGGGCACGCAAGGCGCUCGUGCCGUCCCAGGCGGUGCAGCAGCUGCAGCACCGGAAGCGAGUGGUGGAGCGGUUCCACGCCGGGCCCAGCCGGCUCUCCGCCGCCUCCAUGGCCGGCCGCAGCAACCAGUAA